GGAGCAAAACACUGUUCCUUCAUUAAGAAAAGCACUCAAGGAUGUUGCCAUGGAAAAGGAUGCAGCAGUUGUUGCACGAGAGGAUCUUUCAGCUCAACUUCGUGCAAUUAAGAAACGUGUGAAGGAAGUAGAAGAGGAACAAUAUCGGGCUGAAGAGGAUGCAGCAGCACUAAGAGCAGAACUUAACUCAUUACAGCAGCAAGCAAUGUCCAGUCCUGUUAGUGGUGUA
Molecule: non-coding RNA, 229 nt
Organism: Nicotiana tabacum (common tobacco)
Lineage: Eukaryota; Viridiplantae; Streptophyta; Magnoliopsida; Solanales; Solanaceae
Source: RefSeq, a predicted model, not a curated record